RNAcentral lists this ribosomal RNA (558 nucleotides) under Escherichia coli. RNAcentral's name for it is "partial 23S ribosomal RNA". It matches the Rfam family "Bacterial large subunit ribosomal RNA", at positions 1 to 589 of the family's 2925-position model. Lineage: Bacteria; Pseudomonadati; Pseudomonadota; Gammaproteobacteria; Enterobacterales; Enterobacteriaceae. The record is from RNAcentral.
GGGUUGUGAGGUUAAGCGACUAAGCGUACACGGUGGAUGCCCUGGCAGUCAGAGGCGAUGAAGGACGUGCUAAUCUGCGAUAAGCGUCGGUAAGGUGAUAUGAACCGUUAUAACCGGCGAUUUCCGAAUGGGGAAACCCAGUGUGAUUCGUCACACUAUCAUUAACUGAAUCCAUAGGUUAAUGAGGCGAACCGGGGGAACUGAAACAUCUAAGUACCCCGAGGAAAAGAAAUCAACCGAGAUUCCCCCAGUAGCGGCGAGCGAACGGGGAGCAGCCCAGAGCCUGAAUCAGUGUGUGUGUUAGUGGAAGCGUCUGGAAAGGCGCGCGAUACAGGGUGACAGCCCCGUACACAAAAAUGCACAUACUGUGAGCUCGAUGAGUAGGGCGGGACACGUGGUAUCCUGUCUGAAUAUGGGGGGACCAUCCUCCAAGGCUAAAUACUCCUGACUGACCGAUAGUGAACCAGUACCGUGAGGGAAAGGCGAAAAGAACCCCGGCGAGGGGAGUGAAAAAGAACCUGAAACCGUGUACGUACAAGCAGUGGGAGCACGCUUAGG